CCUACGGGAGGCAGCAGUGGGGAAUAUUGCACAAUGGGGGAAACCCUGAUGCAGCGACGCCGCGUGAGUGAAGAAGUAAUUCGUUAUGUAAAGCUCUAUCAGCAAGGAAGACAAUGACGGUACCUGAGUAAGAAGCCCCGGCUAACUACGUGCCAGCAGCCGAGGUAAUCCGUCGGGGGCAAGCGUUAUCCGGAUUUACUGGGUGUAAAGGGAGCGGAGACGGCAGUGCAAGUCUGGAGUGAAAGGCGGGGGCUCAACCCCCGGACUGCUCUGGAAACUGUACGGCUGGAGUGCAGGAGAGGUAAGUGGAAUUCCUAGUGUAGCGGUGAAAUGCGUAGAUAUUAGGAGGAACACCAGUGGCGAAGGCGGCUUACUGGACUGUAACUGACGUUGAGGCUCGAAAGCGUGGGGAGCAAACAGGAUUAGAUACCCUAGUAGUC
Molecule: ribosomal RNA, 440 nt
Filed under: uncultured bacterium
Lineage: Bacteria
Description: partial 16S ribosomal RNA
Rfam family: Bacterial small subunit ribosomal RNA
Source: RNAcentral